AGUACCACGCGUCGGCGAAUCAGCAUUCUGGUAUGGAUAGUCCGUGGAGACGCAACUACUUUGCAGGUUAGUGCCACUAGGGCAUUUUGCCUCGCUAUUUUGAAACUUUUUUCGCCUAACCUACAUAAUUUUAGAUCUAGUUUUGUUACGGACAUAUAAAUGACGGUAAAUAUGAGGGAAACCACAAAAGGCGUUUUGCCUCGGGGGGCGUUUUGGGGCCUCUUCCCCUACCUUUGUAUGGGUCCCAUCCCAUUGCCUAAUCUAUGGCAAUGAGAAGGCGGACUCGCUAGCAAAGGUGGGUGCACAGGAAGGUGAAGUUUAUGAUAGACAAAUCUCGAACAACGAGUUUUUCCCAUUAGUCCGUCAGAGUACUCUUCAAAAUUGACAAAUGAAUUGGUCACACAAUAAAUUUGGACGGUGGCUAUUUUCCAUAGUUCCUAAAAUUUCUGCGCGAGCGUGGUUCAGAGAUGAGGACUUGAGCCAAGGCUUAAUUCGCACGAUGUCGAGGCUUAUGUGAAAUCACUAUUCACUAAACGCACAUCUCUAUAGAAUAAACCUAGUCGAUAGCAAUCUAUGUAGGUUUGGAGCUGGUUACGAUGACAUCGAUCACGUAGUUUGGUGUUGCUCGGAAAACGACGCGUUCAGAGAGCAACUAUUUGGAUACCCUUGUGACAACGAGUUUUUUGUUCUGUUUUGUUUCUUUGUCUUAUUGUUCCGUGUACCAUGAAGCUCUGGCCAUCCGGAAGAUGCUACCUGACGAACCACAACUCGAGCAUGACGAUACGCUACAACGUUUUUGACGUCAAAUACCCGGAUGAGCAGCUGAAGUACCUCAAACCAAAAUUCCAACCCUGUCCAUCCUGAUCCUGAUCCAUCCGGAUCUCCGGGAAAUGCAGGAGGAGAUUGGCCGGCUGAAGAACAACAAAGCCCCUGGGGUUGACCAACUUCCAGGAGAGCUAUUUAAACACGACUAGAGCGCUGGACUGGUAUCCCAUCUACAAAAAGGGCGAUAAGCUGGAUUGUAGCAACUACCGCACAAUCACAUUGCUGAACGCCGCCUACAAGGUACUCUCCCAAAUUUUAUACCGUCGACUAGCAUCAAUUGCAAGGGAGUUCGUGGUGCAGUACCAGGCGGGGGCAAACGCUCCACCACGGACCAGGUGUUCGCCAUUCGCCAAGUACUGCAGAAAUGCCGCGAAUACAACGUGCCCACACAUCAUCUAUUUAUCGACUUCAAAGCCGCAUAUGAUAUAAUCGAUCGGGACCAGCUAUGGCAACUAAUGGACGAACAUGGAUUUCCGGAUAAACUGAAACGGUUGAUUAAAGCGACGAUGGAUCGGGUGAUGUGCGUAGUUCGAGUUUCAGGGGCAUCCUCGAGUCCUUUCGAAACCCACAGAGGGUUACGGCAAGGUGAUGGUCUUUAGUGUCUGCUAUUCAACAUCGCUUUGGAAGGGGUAAUACGAAGAGCAGGGAUUAACACGAGUGGUACAAUUUUCAAUAAGUCCGUCCAGCUAUUUGGCUUCGUCGACGACAUACAGACUUUUGGCCGAUGCAUACUAUGCAGUUGAAUAAACAUUUCGAUUUUCAAAAAUAAAACAA
Molecule: long non-coding RNA, 1599 nt
Organism: Armigeres subalbatus
Lineage: Eukaryota; Metazoa; Arthropoda; Insecta; Diptera; Culicidae
Exons: 2
Source: RefSeq, a predicted model, not a curated record